Molecule: ribosomal RNA, 520 nt
Filed under: uncultured eukaryote
Lineage: Eukaryota
Description: SSU rRNA
Rfam family: Eukaryotic small subunit ribosomal RNA
Source: RNAcentral
UAGUCAUAUGCUUGUCUAAAGGACUAAGCCAUGCAUGUCUAAGUAUAAGCAAUUUAUACUUGUGAAACUGCGAAUGGCUCAUUAAAUCAGUUAUAGUUUAUUUGAUAUUUUCUUGCUACAUGGAUACCGGUGGCAAAGUACCGCUAAUACAUGCAAACAAUCCCGCAAGGGAUGUAUUUAUUAGAUACGCAAACCAACCUGGCUUGCCAGAGUAUGCUGACUCAUAAUAACUUCACGAAUCGCAUGGCCUUGUGCUGGCGAUGAAUCAUUCAAAUUUCUGCCCUAUCAACUUUUGAUGGUAGGAUAGAGGCCUACCAUGGUUAUGACGGGUAACGGAGAAUUAGGGUUCGAUUCCGGAGAGGGAGCCUGAGAAAUGGCUACCACAUCCAAGGAAGGCAGCAGGCGCGCAAAUUGCCCAAUCUCGAUACGAGGAGGCAGCGACAAGAAGUAACAGUGCGGGGCUUUUUCAAGUCUCGUAAUUGGAAUGAGUACAAUUUAAACACCUUAACAAGGAUCAAUU